GAGUUUGAUCCUGGCCAGGAUGAACGCUAGCGGGAGGCCUAACACAUGCAAGCCGAGCGGUAGGGAUUCUUCGGGAUCUUGAGAGCGGCGUACGGGUGCGGAACACGUGUGCAACCUGCCUUUAUCAGGGGGAUAGCCUUUCGAAAGGAAGAUUAAUACCCCAUAAUAUAUUAAGUGGCAUCACUUGAUAUUGAAAACUCCGGUGGAUAGAGAUGGGCACGCGCAAGAUUAGAUAGUUGGUAGGGUAACGGCCUACCAAGUCAGUGAUCUUUAGGGGGCCUGAGAGGGUGAUCCCCCACACUGGUACUGAGACACGGACCAGACUCCUACGGGAGGCAGCAGUGAGGAAUAUUGGACAAUGGGUGAGAGCCUGAUCCAGCCAUCCCGCGUGAAGGACGACGGCCCUAUGGGUUGUAAACUUCUUUUGUAUAGGGAUAAACCUUGCCACGUGUGGAAAGCUGAAGGUACUAUACGAAUAAGCACGGGCUAACUCCGUGCCAGCAGCGCG
RNAcentral lists this ribosomal RNA (508 nucleotides) under uncultured Chryseobacterium sp. RNAcentral describes it as "bacterial SSU rRNA". It matches the Rfam family "Bacterial small subunit ribosomal RNA", at positions 9 to 519 of the family's 1533-position model. The record is from RNAcentral. Lineage: Bacteria; Pseudomonadati; Bacteroidota; Flavobacteriia; Flavobacteriales; Weeksellaceae.